GAUGAACGCUGGCGGCGUGCCUAAUACAUGCAAGUCGAACGAAACUUCUUUAUCACCGAGUGCUUGCACUCACCGAUAAAGAGUUGAGUGGCGAACGGGUGAGUAACACGUGGGCAACCUGCCCAAAAGAGGGGGAUAACACUUGGAAACAGGUGCUAAUACCGCAUAACCAUAGUUACCGCAUGGUAACUAUGUAAAAGGUGGCUAUACUACCGCUUUUGGAUGGGCCCGCGGCGCAUUAGCUAGUUGGUAGGGUAAAGGCUUACCAAGGCAAUGAUGCGUAGCCGAAUUGAGAGGUUGAUCGGCCACAUUGGGACUGAGACACGGCCCAAACUCCUACGGGAGGCAGCAGUAGGGAAUAUUCCACAAUGGGCGAAAGCCUGAUGGAGCAACGCCGCGUGGGUGAAGAAGGUCUUCGGAUCGUAAAACCCUGUUGUUAGAGAAGAAAGUGCGUGAGAGUAACUGUUCACGUUUCGACGGUAUCUAACCAGAAAGCCACGGCUAACUACGUG
Molecule: ribosomal RNA, 512 nt
Filed under: uncultured bacterium
Lineage: Bacteria
Description: partial 16S ribosomal RNA
Rfam family: Bacterial small subunit ribosomal RNA
Source: RNAcentral